This 619-nucleotide ribosomal RNA is filed under the name uncultured eukaryote. RNAcentral's name for it is "bacterial SSU rRNA". It matches the Rfam family "Eukaryotic small subunit ribosomal RNA", at positions 4 to 560 of the family's 1831-position model. The record is from RNAcentral.
CUGGUUGAUCCUGCCAGUAGUCAUAUGCUUGUUUCAAGGACUAAGCCAUGCACGCCUCAGAAUCACUGCAUUGCAGGAAUCUGCGCAUGGCUCAUUACAUCAGACGUAAUCUGCCGCAAAUACUUUGCGGUUUACCGCAAGAUUGGAUACCUUGGCGAAACGCCAAGCUAAUACAUGAAUCUAGUGGGUGAUCUCCGUUCCAUGCCGGGGAGGCUUCGGCCGAACCGGCAGCGAGACACCUUGCGAAUGAAUGAAAGUAAAACCAAUGCCGCGGACGCGGCAGUACAACACACAGAAGUGUUGAAUCAAUUCAUUCCGUGCGAAAGCUGAAUUUUCAGCGUCUUUCGAGGAACAACUGCCCUAUCAGCCGUUGAUGGCCGUGUAGUGGACUGCCAUGGCGUUGACGGGAGCGGGGGAUUAGGGUUCGAUUCCGGAGAGGGAGCCUGAGAAAUGGCUACCACUUCUACGGAGGGCAGCAGGCGCGUAAAUUGCCCAAUGCCAAAAAACUUGGUGAGGCAGCGAAAAGAAAUAGGCCUCCUUAUCACCUCACGGUGAUUGGGAGAUUCCAAUGGGGGAUAUUUAAAUCCAUCGAAUAUCGAGUAACAAUUGGAGGAAAAGU